AUGAAGAACGUAGCAAAAUGCGAUACUUGGUGUGAAUUGCAGAAUCCCGUGAACCAUCGAGUUUUUGAACGCAAGUUGCGCCCGAAGCCUUUUGGCCGAGGGCACGUCUGCCUGGGCGUCACGCAUCGCGUCGCCCCCCACAAUUCUCCGUAAAGGGAACGUGUGUUUUGGGGGCGGAUAUUGGUCUCCCGUGCUCAUGGCGUGGUUGGCCGAAAUAGGAGUCCUUUCGAUGGACGCACGAACUAGUGGUGGUCGUAAAAACCCUCGUCUUUUGUUUCGUGCUGUUGCUCGCAAGGUAAACUCUUUAAAAACCCCAAUGUGUCGUCUCUUGACGACGCUUCGACCGCGACCCCAGGUCAGGCGGGACUACCCGCUGAGUUUAAGCAUAUCAAUAAGCGGAGGA
Molecule: unclassified non-coding RNA, 403 nt
Filed under: soil metagenome
Description: partial contains 5.8S ribosomal RNA, internal transcribed spacer 2, and large subunit ribosomal RNA
Rfam family: 5.8S ribosomal RNA (bases 1-121)
Source: RNAcentral